This 322-nucleotide unclassified non-coding RNA is filed under the name Hevea brasiliensis (rubber tree). The record is from RNAcentral. Lineage: Eukaryota; Viridiplantae; Streptophyta; Magnoliopsida; Malpighiales; Euphorbiaceae.
UUAACACUUUUUCCGGCAGACUUUUACCCAAUUCUUCGAUCACAAGAUAUCGCCGGCGUAGGAGUCGUCUCCGAAUUCCGAUAUCCAUGGAACCCAAAACUUCAAUCGUGUCAUCUUCAUCAUCCAAACCUUCAAACCCUAACCCUAAAAACAGAGAUUUCCUAAUCCAUCUCGAAGCUUACCUCGCCAAACGUGAUGGCGUUGACAAGUUGCUCAAAAUCUCCCGUUACGCAUCUAAGAUCAUCCUCGCAUCCUCCGUUAUCCCUGAUUCCCUGCCGUUAUCUCAGCGUCUGAAAUCCUUCGAGUCCAGUGUUGGUGUAAG